GACGAACGCUGGCGGCGUGCUUAACACAUGCAAGUCGAACGGAAAGGCCCUGCUUUUGUGGGGUGCUCGAGUGGCGCACGGGUGAGUAACACGUGAGUAACCUGCCCUUGACUUUGGGAUAACUUCAGGGAACUGGGGCUCAUACCGGAUAGGAGCUCCUGCUCCAUGUUGGGGGUUGGAAAGUUUCGGCGGUUGGGGAUGGACUCGCGGCUUAUCAGCUUGUUGGUGGGGUAGUGGCUUACCAAGGCUUUGACGGGUACGCGGCCUGAGCGGGUGACCCGCCACACUGGGACUGAGAGACGGCACAGACUCCUACGGGAGGCAGCAGUGGGGAAUAUUGCAGAAGGGGCGGAGGCCUGAUGCAGCAACGCCGCGUGCGGGAUAACGGCCUUCGGGUUGUAAACCGCUUUCGCCUGUGACGAAGCGUGAGUGACGGUAAUGGGUAAAGAAGCACCGGCUAACUACGUG
Molecule: ribosomal RNA, 468 nt
Filed under: uncultured bacterium
Lineage: Bacteria
Description: partial 16S ribosomal RNA
Rfam family: Bacterial small subunit ribosomal RNA
Source: RNAcentral